Molecule: unclassified non-coding RNA, 343 nt
Filed under: soil metagenome
Description: partial contains 5.8S ribosomal RNA, internal transcribed spacer 2, and large subunit ribosomal RNA
Rfam family: 5.8S ribosomal RNA (bases 1-120)
Source: RNAcentral
GAUGAAGAACGCAGCGAAAUGCGAUAAGUAAUGUGAAUUGCAGAAUUCAGUGAAUCAUCGAAUCUUUGAACGCACAUUGCGCCCGCCAGCAUUCUGGCGGGCAUGCCUGUUCGAGCGUCAUUUCAACCCUCGAGCCCCCCCGGGGGCCGCGGUGUUGGGGGACGGCACACCAGCCGCCCCCGAAAUGCAGUGGCGACCCCGCCGCAGCCUCCCCUGCGUAGUAGCACACACCUCGCACCGGAGCGCGGAGGCGGUCACGCCGUAAAACGCCCAACUUUCUUAGAGUUGACCUCGGAUCAGGUAGGAAUACCCGCUGAACUUAAGCAUAUCAAUAAGCGGAGGA